UUGAAGUGCUUGGUCCUUCCAUUAAACAAUCUGUUGGAGAACUUAGCCGUGAAAAUGAAAAAUGAACGAAAAAGAUCCGUAUAAUGUAAUAUUGAUUAGAUAAGACUAAGAUUUAGUUGUGUUGUUGUUACACUCAACAUUACUUCUGGUUUUUGUCAAUUGUCCUUAUAUAGUUAAAAAGUUGUAUGACUGUUUUAAGAUAAAAAGCGAGAUUUAGCAAGUGUACUAGUUCUAGAGAACUUAUUUCAGUUGAAAGAUAAAACGGAUGUGAUUAGAACAAAGUAGAUACACAUUGUUAGGACUUCUAAUAACCAAAUUGAAAAGUGAAGCCAUGGAUAUGGUAAAUAUAUUCAAUCUGUAUGAUGCGCUUUACAAUUGUGUUCUUCAUUCUAUGCCCUAUCUAAAACAACAUUUUGCUAAAUGUUGAUUAUGACUCAACAAACAAGAAGCUGUUGGUUUCCACUUUCUCGGUGCAAAGAAGAAGUCGAACAACAACAUGAAGGAAUUGAUAGGAUCAAUGCUUUGUGAAGAUCUCCGGAAGUUACGCUUUUCCUUAUUAGCGAAAUGAUAUAGUCCAUGAAGGCUGAGUCACAAGGUAAUGUAAUAGGAGCACCACUCGGAAGACCAAAUUCUUCUUCAGACAUGUUCAAAAGUUGCCUAAUGAUCUCAUUUUCAAGAUAAACCAAGGGAAUCAUGAAACGCUUUUGAUCAGCUGUAUAUACUGCAAAAUGUCCUUUUUCAAUUAUAGACGAUGAAGACGUACCACAAUAAUCUGCUUCACUGCCAUUUCUUGAAAAUGAAAUCCUCUUCCUCUGCAUAGCUGCAAACUUCUGCCAUUUCCUAACCAUUUUGAUGAGUUUCUUGGUACUAAUCAUUGCCAUUUUCUUUUCGGAAGAUUGGAAAUAAGAAAUUUAGAGACGUUUGGUGGCUGAAUUGAUAACACUUGUGUUUGAUGAUGAAAAGGCUCAAGAAAGAAGGCUUAUUUAUACAAGUUGAGCUGAUAAGUUUGUUAGGCAAAGCCAUGUGCUGAUGUCUGUUGGCCUACUUGGUAUUUCUCAGCAAUGGCUAUAAUUUGAGAAACAAAACCAUGUUCUGCUCUCUUCUUUGUCAUGUAGAUUGGUGACAUUUAGAUUUCCAUCUAGGCAUCAACUCAUCGAUUCUUGUGGAUUUUAUUUCAAAUAAAAGAGGGGCCUAAUGUCAUUCUUCUACACAUUCCUGUCUGAAUACUUAAUGAUAAUAGAGUAAGCAAAACCAUGUGAAGCUUCAUGUCCCAAUGUCUCUCACUAGUGGCCACCAAUUCCUCUUCACCAUUAAACUUGGAUAUGAAAUUUACCACUAACUUUGUAUAUAUACACACACAUAGAAUGCUUUUUUAUGCAAAACACAAGUCUCACUUGCUGUGUAUUUCUCAAAAUCCUUCAUUCUUUCUUCAAAGUCAUCAUUUGAAGUUACAAAAGAGUCUCACUAUGGGUAUCAAAAUGAGUCCCCUUAUUCAAGGUACAAGAAUCUUGAGGAGAUUUUCAAAUUCCAUGGGUGUUCCUAAAGGUCAUUGUGCAGUAUAUGUGGGAGAGAGCCAGAAGAAGAGAUUCAUCGUGCCAAUAUCUUACUUGAGCCAGCCUUUAUUUCAAGACUUGUUAACUCAAGCUGAAGAACAGUUUGGCUUCGAUCAUCCAAUGGGUGGUCUAACAAUACCUUGCAAGGAAGACGUGUUUGUUGAUCUCACAUCCCGCUUGAGAUCAUGAGUAGUAUCAAAGUGCAAAGUCUCUUGCAUAGAAAUUUUGUAAAUUAGUAGACUUAGAUACUACAAAUAGGAGAUUUAAAGAGGAAGUUUUACUGUAUAGUUUAGAAACACAAAAUCAAUAGAAUUUGUUUCCAUGAUCAAUUUAUGAAUAGCAGAAGUGUUUUUUCUUAUCAUCACUAUUUUGUUUACAUUUUCUAAAACAAUGCUGUUAUUCAUUAAAAAUUGCACUGUGUGGAUCAAACUAUCGCAUCUUAGAAAGUAUCGUUUGUGAUAAGUAACAAGAAAUUACUUAGCUGAACCAAGUCAUCAGCUUUAUCUAUACUUGAGUUUUUAAAUUUUUAGGAUGUCCUUGAUUCCAAGUUAUGAGAAUUGAGAAGCAAUGAGGCCUAGUAUUCAACAAGUAUAGUGUAAGACUUGUUCAUAAACUUGUUCAUGCACACUGCAAAAACUUCAUUUUUCUGUGCAUUUCUCGAAAAUCAUAUCUUGAAAGAACGUCUGCAGUUAAUAUUAUACUUGAGUCUUCCUUUAUAUUUCAAGAUUUGUUAGCUCAUAUUGUAUGUCACCUGACUGGUUCUGAAAAUACAACAAAAUUUUUACACCGGAUGCAAACUUUGAAGACAAGCCCUGCUAUACUUAAGAUACUAAUGCAUAUACAUAAAAGGAGGCAUAUUUGAUUGAUUGAUCAUUAGACCUCAUUCGAUCAAGGAGGUACUGCAGUAAGUGAAAUGCGUGGGAUAAAAAAAGUAGUGUUAAUACAUAAGAGGUACCAAUGGAGGAUUAGAUUGUUUAAGUCUUCUCAUCACCAAAUGUAAAAAAGAAAGCUGUGGAUAUGAUAAAUUUUCUCUUUGAUAAAAUAAUAUUCAAUCUGUAUGAACAGCUUUACAAUUGUGUUCAUCAGUGUAUGCCCUAUCUAAAAAAACUAUUUUCAGCUAGCAUGUAUUAUGACUCAACAAACAAAAAGCUGUUGGUUUCCACUUUCUCGGUGCAAAGAAGAAGUCGAACAGCAAGAAGAAGGAAUUGAUAGGAGCAAUGCAUUGUGAAGAUCUCCAGCAGUUAUGCCUUUCUUGAUUAGCAAAAUGAUGUAGUCCAUGAAGGCUGAAUCACAGGGUAAUGUAAUAGGACCACCAUUCAGCAGCCCAAAUUCUUCUUCAGACAUGUUCAAGAGUUGCCUAAUGAUCUCAUUUUCAAGGUAAACCAAUGGAAUGACAAAACGUGCUUGAUCGACUGUAUAUACUACAAAAUGGCCUUUUUCAACCGUAGACGAUGAAGACAUACUGCAACUAUCUGCGUCGCUAACAUUUCUUGGAAAUGAAAUCCUCUUCCUCUGCAUGGCUGCAAAUUUCUGCCAUUUCCUAGCCAUUUUGAUGAGUUUCUUGGUACUAAUCAUUGUCAUUUUCUUUCUAGAAGAUUGGAAAUAAGAAAUUUAGAGACCUUUGAUGGUUGAAUUGAUAAUGCUUGAGUUUGAUGAUGAAAAGGCUCAUGAAAGAGGGCUUAUUUAUACAAGAAGAUCUGAUAAGUUUGUUAGGCAAAACCAUGUUAGAUGCCUGUUAGCCAUGUUGAUAUGGGGCCUAAAAUUUGUGGAUGAAGCUAUGUUUGAAAACAAAAGAAGAUAAGUUUAUAAAUGGUAUUUCUCAGCAAUGCCAUAUUAUUUGAGACAAUUAAAUGAACAAUUGCAGGUGAGAAGCAAAACCAUGUUCUUCUCUCUUCUUUGUCAUGUAGAUAGGUGACCUUUAGAUUUCCAUCUUUGCAUCAACUCCAUUGGGGCCUAGUGUUGUUCUUCAACAAAGCCAUGUGGAACUUCAUGUGCCAUUGUCUCUCACCAGUGGCCAUUAAAUUUUGAGAUGAAACUUACCACUAACUUCGUAUAUAUACACAUACAUAGAAAUCAUUUUAUGCAAAACACAAGUCUCAUUGGUGUGUGCUUCUCAAAAUCCUUUGAACUCAUCAUCUGAAGUUAAAUAAAGUAUCUCACUAUGGCUAUCAAACUGAUCAGUCCCCUUGUUCAAGGUACUAGAAUAUUGAGGAGGUUUUCAAAUUCCGGAGGUGUUCCAAAAGGACAUUGUGCAGUAUAUGUAGGAGAGAGCCAGAAGAAGAGAUUCAUCGUGCCUAUAUCAUACUUGAGCCAGCCUUCGUUUCAAGACUUGUUAACUCAAGCUGAAGAACAGUUUGGCUUCGAUCAUCCAAUGGGCGGUCUCACAAUACCUUGCAAAGAAGAUGUGUUUGUUGAUCUCACAUCCCGCUUGAGACGAUGAAUUGUAUCAAAGUGCAAAUUCUCUUGCAGAGAAAUUUUGUGUAGUAGUAGUAGGACUUAGAUAUUAGAAAGAUGAGACUUAGAGAGGAACUUUUACUGUAUAGUUCAGAAACACAAGAAUCUAUAGAAGUUGUUUCCAUGAUCAAUUUAUGAAUAGCAGAAGUGUUAUUUCUAAUUAAUCUCUCCCUUAUUUUUUUAAAGUUUAUCUACUAAAAUAAUUAGGCCUCCAUAUACAACAGUGUCACAGUGUUGUGCAAACUAGCACAUCCAAGAAAGUAUAAUUUAGCUGAAUAAGAAUGGCAUCUGUGAUGAGUAACGGAACGAAGUCAUCUGCUUUAUCAUAGACUUGAGGCAUUAAAUUUUGUAGGAUGCCCUUAAUUCCAAGUAUGAGAAGCAAUGAGGCUUAAUAUAUACUUGUAUAAACUUUUGGAUUCAUAAACUUAUAUAUACACAGUGCAAAAAGUUUUCCUUUUUCUGUGCAUUUCUCAAGAUUAUGUGUUACUUGUUCAUUCUUAUAUCAUCAUCUAGAGUUAAGUAUGUCUUUAGUUGUUCUAAUAUCAUACUUGAGUCUUCAUUUUAGAUUUCAAGACUUGUUUUAUCACCUAAUUGCUUCUGAAGAUACCACAAAAUGUUCACACAGGAUGCUAACUUAGAAGACAAGCCCUGCAAUACUUCAGAUGCCGUUGUCUCUCAUCUCUGCCACCCUAAUGCAGAUACUUCAGCAAAGCCUGAUUAGAACAUACUCAUGCAUAUACAUAGAAGGAGGCAUAGUUUAGUGAAAUGCUUGCAAUAAUAAAAGUGGUACCAAUUCAGGAUUAGAUUUUCAAGUCUUCUCAUAACCAAAUGUAAAAGUGAAAACAGUGGAUAUAUUCAAUUUUCUCUGAUAAAAUAAUAUUCAAUCUGUACGAUGUGCUUUACAAUUGUGUUCUUCAUUCUAUGCCCUAUCUAAACUAGAAUGUAAUUAAAAAAAAUGUUGAUUAUGACUUAACAAACAAGAAGCUGUAGGUUUCCACUUUCUCGGUGCAAAGAAGAUGCCGAACAGCAACUAGAAGGAAUUGAUAGGAGCAAUGCUUUGUGAAGAUCUCCUGCAGUUACGCCUCUGCUUAUUAACGAAAUGAUAUAGUCCAUGAAGGCUGAAUCACAAGGUAAUGUAA
RNAcentral lists this long non-coding RNA (5146 nucleotides) under Solanum lycopersicum (tomato). RNAcentral's name for it is "long non-coding RNA (SLYC_LNC000875)". The record is from RNAcentral. Lineage: Eukaryota; Viridiplantae; Streptophyta; Magnoliopsida; Solanales; Solanaceae.